Small nuclear RNA from Saimiri boliviensis boliviensis (Bolivian squirrel monkey), 140 nucleotides. Its record names the gene U4. It matches the Rfam family "U4 spliceosomal RNA". Rfam says of the family: U4 small nuclear RNA (U4 snRNA) is a component of the major U2-dependent spliceosome. The structure of U4 snRNA from yeast and human has been reported. The record is from Ensembl. NCBI's taxonomy places the organism in Eukaryota, Metazoa, Chordata, Mammalia, Primates, Cebidae.
AGCUUUGCACAGUGACAGUAUUAGUGCCAGUGAGGUCUAUCUGAGGAGCGAUUAUUGCUAAUUGAAAACUUUUCCCAAUACCCUGCCAUGAUGACUUGAAAUAUAGAAUCAUUGGCAAUUGUUGACAGUCUCUACGGAGA